AACGAACGCUGGCAGCAUGCCUAACACAUGCAAGUCGAACGAGACCUUCGGGUCUAGUGGCGCACGGGUGCGUAACGCGUGGGAACCUGCCCUUAGGUUCGGAAUAACUCCCCGAAAGGGGUGCUAAUACCGGAUAAUGUCUUCGGACCAAAGAUUUAUCGCCUUUGGAUGGGCCCGCGUUGGAUUAGCUAGUUGGUAGGGUAAAAGCCUACCAAGGCGACGAUCCAUAGCUGGUCUGAGAGGAUGAUCAGCCACACUGGGACUGAGACACGGCCCAGACUCCUACGGGAGGCAGCAGUGGGGAAUAUUGGACAAUGGGCGAAAGCCUGAUCCAGCAAUGCCGCGUGAGUGGUGAAGGCCUUAGGGUUGUAAAGCUCUUUUACCCGGGAUGAUAAUGACAGUACCGGGAGAAUAAGCUCCGGCUAACUCCGUG
Molecule: ribosomal RNA, 433 nt
Filed under: uncultured bacterium
Lineage: Bacteria
Description: partial 16S ribosomal RNA
Rfam family: Bacterial small subunit ribosomal RNA
Source: RNAcentral